This 470-nucleotide ribosomal RNA is filed under the name Lactiplantibacillus plantarum. Its description in RNAcentral is "bacterial SSU rRNA". It matches the Rfam family "Bacterial small subunit ribosomal RNA", at positions 69 to 527 of the family's 1533-position model. The record is from RNAcentral. Lineage: Bacteria; Bacillati; Bacillota; Bacilli; Lactobacillales; Lactobacillaceae.
GCAUCAUGAUUUACAUUUGAGUGAGUGGCGAACUGGUGAGUAACACGUGGGAAACCUGCCCAGAAGCGGGGGAUAACACCUGGAAACAGAUGCUAAUACCGCAUAACAACUUGGACCGCAUGGUCCGAGCUUGAAAGAUGGCUUCGGCUAUCACUUUUGGAUGGUCCCGCGGCGUAUUAGCUAGAUGGUGGGGUAACGGCUCACCAUGGCAAUGAUACGUAGCCGACCUGAGAGGGUAAUCGGCCACAUUGGGACUGAGACACGGCCCAAACUCCUACGGGAGGCAGCAGUAGGGAAUCUUCCACAAUGGACGAAAGUCUGAUGGAGCAACGCCGCGUGAGUGAAGAAGGGUUUCGGCUCGUAAAACUCUGUUGUUAAAGAAGAACAUAUCUGAGAGUAACUGUUCAGGUAUUGACGGUAUUUAACCAGAAAGCCACGGCUAACUACGUGCCAGCAGCCGCGGUAAUACG